GGGAACCAGGACCGGGGAACUCUGAGGGCCAUGCCACCAGUGAUCAGAAACCGUGAUGUCUGGAGCAGGUAACCAGCACCGGAUGGAUCGCAGAAGCCUGAGAGUGACUCUGGUGGCAGGAAAUUAAGAUGAAUAAUUCCAGCCACGAACACAACUGGAGGUACUUGAAGUGAUUCUGAUAGAUGCCGAUCGACAGCGCAGGAAAACAAAGACACUACUGCUCUACACAGCCUGGCCCAGUACAACACUUACUUUAUUAGUCCAUCAGGGUGACAACCCAGUGUUGAAGGGAACUGCUUCUAAUGGGAACUGGACAGAGACCACCAAGCCAUUUCACACAGACAGACCCUCCACUCCCUCCCACCAACACCUGUAAGAUGAUGGCAACUUUCAGACUCCAUUGAGCUGGGCUGGAUUUGGCUGGAUGACUUGAGGUCUUGAUGCAGCAAAGCCAUUAACCACAUUAUCACACGCUGUCACUGGGACUAUCGGCAUACUUACAAUUCAGUGUGUAUGUAAGUGCUUUUGCUGAAUGGGGGCUAUAGUGGGGAACUGCUCCACAUCUCCUCCCAUUACCAACUCCUGAACUCUCCAGUUCCCUGCUUAAAAGCACCCAAUAACCUGUCACCUACUGCUUGGCAAUAACUUAGUCUGGACAAUGACAUCACUGUUUGCAUCAUAAUGAAUAUAACCUCCUGUAAGUCAUGUGCUAUAAAGAUCCAGAGUGUUGCUAUCUACUUCAGUGGGAAUAGGAUCAGGUCCAUAAUGCCUUUGAGUGCAUACUGCACAACAAGUCUAAUAAGAGCUUGAUUUUCAUUUUUGUCAGCUGAGCAUCUUGGAACCUUUCAGGCAGAACAUUCUAAUUUAACUAUCAAAGUUUUUCUCUAAAGCUAUUACCAUAACUUUCAAUAAAACAAAGUAUUUGCAGUGCAGAGUUAUACAGUAGCUGCAGGAUAUUAUUAAUAGAUCCUAACAGAAGGAGCUGUGUUUUAAUUGCAGUGUUUUGUACAUAUUUAGAAAGCAAAUUAUUUGGAGGCAGAGCUAUAGUCAAUACCUGCAGUGCUGCUAAUGAAAUUAUAAAUAAAUGUCUUCUUCAAGGAGGU
This is a long non-coding RNA of Mauremys mutica (yellowpond turtle), 1103 nucleotides long. RefSeq lists it as uncharacterized. The transcript has 4 exons. The record is from RefSeq and is a predicted model, not a curated record. NCBI's taxonomy places the organism in Eukaryota, Metazoa, Chordata, Testudines, Geoemydidae.